Molecule: RNA transcript, 4290 nt
Organism: Solanum stenotomum
Lineage: Eukaryota; Viridiplantae; Streptophyta; Magnoliopsida; Solanales; Solanaceae
Gene name: calmodulin binding protein PICBP-like
Exons: 4
Source: RefSeq, a predicted model, not a curated record
UUACCUUUUUACAACCCCAAAAGUGAAAUCUUGAAAAGGGGUGUAAUGGUAGUUGAAUUAACAUCACCACAAACAUUAAACUCCAACAAGAAACCAAACAAGCUAAGAUCUAUUAGAUUUCCAAGACUGUCUUUCUUGAGAAGAACAUCCUCAAAUUGCUCAAAAAAAUCUAAGUUUUCUUGUCUAUCCAUUGUUCCAACAAGUAAUAACUCAACCCCAGAGCAACUAAGUCCAAUCAAAAUGCCAGAUUUAUCACCAAAUUAUAUGAAGAUUACAACUAGCUAUGAUGCAAAGAAAGGAAGUAAUUCUCAGAGAGGUAUUGGAUCAGUAGAUGUAAAUUCAAUUGAUUCAUCUGAAUUUUGUACACCAAAAAAGGAUGACAAAAUCAAGAACAGACCAGUAAUGAAAAAAAUAAUGAAGAAUUUUGGUAGUACAAGGUCAUUUAGAAGAAGGUCAUCAAGAUCAAUAACAACAAUGAAGAAUCAUAAUACUCGAAAUCCAUCUUCAGUUGAGUUUUCAGAAUUAUCAUCAUCACCAUCACCACAUUACAGAAAAUCAACUUGUUGUUCUCAAGGUAAAAAUUGUUUACAUCAUAGUUGUGAAUCUAGCUUUGAUAGUAGUGAUCAAAGUAGGAGUCCGCGAAAAUAUUCGCAGACUCUAUCAAGAACAACUAGUAUGAGAAGUGUGAAGAUUUUGAUAAACAAAGCUAGUUUUAAAUCUAAAAAGGGUACCUCAAAAUGCUGUCAAAUUCCUGAUAAGGCGACGUGUUCUUCGACUAUUAAGGAUUCUAAGUUUAAGGAACAUGUUGAGUUUCAUCCUGGAAAAACUGAAUCUGAUAGGUUGUCUAAGUUCAAAGUUUGUUCAUAUCAUCAUUGUUCUCUCCAUGGAGGACACUAUGAUGAUCCUUCACCCCCGGUGAAACGCGUAUAUAGGAGGAAAAGAUUGUUGAAAUCACAAAAGAGCAUUAGAGCAAAAAGAGAGUUUAGUACUGCUGAUGAAAAUACUCAAUUGAGCUCCAGUGUUGAUCCUUCAGUUUGUGGACAAAGCAGUGCUGCAGAAGAUGCUGGUGGUUUCGAUGUAAACGAGGCUAUUGAACAUGCUGAUCUUGUUGAGAUUGACUUUGGUGAACAACAAAGCAGUGGAACAGAAGAUGCUGGUGUUUUCGAUGUAAACGAGGCUAUUGCAUAUGCUGAAAUUGACUUUGGUGAAACAUCAUUUCCGGAGCAAAGUUACAAGGAGACACUCAACAUAAUGAGCAAACACUCUGCACUAGAGAAGGACAGCCUACUUACUGCUUCAGAGUGUUGCAAUUGUAUGGCACGAGGGCGGAGUGACUCAAAAGAUGACAGUGUUACAGAAUCAGCUGCAUUCAGUCUCGUGCAGGAAAGGGAUCGUUCACAUCUCCUAAAGCAAGAUGAUGGUGUCUCUACAUCUGAUGGGGAUGAAAGUAGUAAACGAGAACUGUCUAAAGAUGCACCAUUUACCAUGACAACGAGAUCGGUGUUUGAUCUUUUUAAUGGAGCAAAAUAUAGCAAUGUUACAGAAUCAGCUGCUAAAUCUGAUAACAAUGAAAGUAACAACAGAGAACCGUCUAAAGAUGGACCAUUCACCAUCACAACGAGACCGGUGUUUGAUAUUUUUUAUGGAGCAAAAUGUAGCAAUGAAAUCUCUUCUGUUUCAGCUAGCAAUAUGCAGGAGAAGGAUGGUAAAGCUGAUCCGAAUGAGGACCUUGAUAGCACAUCAGGUCCAGUUGGUGAUUCAAAAUCCCAGAAUUGUCCUCCAGCUGAAGUUGCCAGACCCAAAAAGAAGUAUAUGAACAUGUGGAGUCUGAUUCGUAGGCAUAUGGUCUCGGACUCAUCUGCUGAACCUGAGACCAAACCAGCUAGUGGCGCUAACGACGAAGAAAAUCAACAGGAUGGUGCUAGCAAAUUGCCUUCAGCAGGAAGUUCUGACUCAUGUUCAGAUUUUGCUGAAAGAGAAAUGAUACCUGCAAAUGAGGAUGCAGAAAGUCAAGAAAUUGAAUUGAGGAAGCUUUUCACCAUCAAACUCGUACGAGAAGCAAUCGAGAAGAUUCUUCUUCCAGAAGUUCAAUCUGAUAACCAAUCAGUUACAAGUGAGUCCAGUGUAGACCAAGAAUCCUUUGAAAUGAAUCAAAUCCAAGACAGCAAGAAUGAGGAGGUAGAUGCAGGAUCCAUGGCAAAAACUGUGAACACAAAAGACGUUGGCGGCUCAAAGAAGGAGAUAACACCAAAAGAAGUGAAAAACAAAUCUGAGAAGAGAGCACCAAAACACUGGAGCAAUCUUAAAAAAUGGAUACUUCUCCAACGAUUCGUCAAGGAAUUGGAAAAGGUUAGAAAGAUCAAUCCAAGGAAGCCGCAGUUUUUGCAGUUGAAUCCUGAUCCUGAAGCAGAAAAGGUGAAUUUAAGAACUCAAACAGCUGAUGAGAGGAAAAGAGGAGAAGAAUGGAUGCUUGACUAUGCGCUUCAGCAGGCGAUAAGUCAACUUGCUCCAACUCAGCAAAGGAAAGUGGAACUUCUUAUAAAAGCAUUUGAAACUGUGGUUCCACCACAAGGCGACAAUAGCCAGAUUGCAUUUUCUAAGCCCAGAGCUAGAAAGGAGAAUGAAUUCAUGUCUACAGCAGGCAAUUCGGGGCGUAAGGCAGAGAAAGUUAUUGCAGGCAUAGACAGAAAGCUUGAAGAAAAUGACUGCUCUAUGUACAAAGAUGAUGAUGUUCGACAGUCUAUGCUUAGGAAGAAGUCGGAUGAAGUGACAAGCGCUUCAAAUGAUGAGGAUUUGGUGGAAGGAAAAGCUCGGAAAGAAGAUCGGGAAGAUAGUUCAAAUGAUUCUAUGAAAGAAACCUCAGAUGCAGUUGAUGGAGCACGAGAAGAUGUGGGGUCAGUUGUGAGAGACAGGAAGUUGGAGCUUGAGAAUCAUGAUGGCGUUACUAGUGAAACAUCCGAUACAACGCAGAGCUCAAUUGCAGCUGGCGACCAAAAUUCACUCACUGCAGUGAGCAUCCACAGUUCAACUUCAGCAUCUGAUGCAACAAUGCAAGAAAAUGUAACUAUGGAAGAGACAUCAAAAGAAUGUGAGAAAACACGUAAACCUCUUCGUGGAUUUUCUCUCUUAUUAUCAAUGUCUGAUCCCAAAGAAGAUGAUGGAGCAUCCAAGGGGCAGACGGACAAACGGAGUUACAUCAGCAUGUGGCACAUGAUAUCACAACAUGUGCUAUCAGACGUUGCAUCAAAAGUUGGAAAUGAACUACUUGAUGGAACUGAUGAUGAGGUAGAAGACAGCAGUAGUACACCAUCUGAAAGGAAAACGUGCAACUCUCUUGAGGAUUUCUCUGAGACAAACAGGGAAGAUCAUAAUCCAAGCCACCACGGGAGAAGUUUCUGCAGAGACGAUGCUGUCAAACUCAUACGAGAGGCAGUUAACGAGAUCCUUACAACGCCAAUUCAAGAUGAUUCAUCGGAUACACAGUCAGUCACCAGUGACAUAAUCCCGGACCAGGAACUCUCAGAAGCUGAUGGUGAAGCGAAUACUCGCUCAAAUUCUACAGAAAGCUUGACAAAUCUUGACACGACUGAAGGUGGAAAAAUGUUGGAUCAAGAAACGAAGGAUCCAAAAGAAGAGAGAGCACUUCUACUAGCCAAGAACAAACCUGAGACACAAAAGUCCAAGAACUGGAGCAAGCUGAAGAAGUUGAUCCUCCUCAAGAGAUCAAUCAAGGCACUUGAAAAAGCAAGGAAAUUCAACCCACGAGCGCCUCAAUUUUUGCCCCUAACACCUGAUCAAGAACCAGAAAAAGUGGAUUUGAGGCAUCAAAUGACUGAUGAAAGGAAAAAAGCAGAAAAAUGGAUGCUUGAUUAUGCAAUGCAGCAUAUAGUUACCACGCUAACUCCUGCUAGGAAAAAAAGAGUGGCAAUGCUCGUGGAAGCAUUCGAAGCAGUUGUUCCUCUUCCAGAAGUAUAACCAAGUCAGAUUGGUGGCAAAUUCUUUGACUACUUGUAAGAAUUAUGAAGGUUAUACAGAGGCAAUUUCAGAAAGUUGAUCGUGUGGGAUAUAUGGUCGUCGACUUGUGGUGUAUUUGCACUAGGUUUCUGCUUUUUUUUGAGCAGCAAUUGGUAGAUUAGCUACUUGAUGUAAGGGUGCAUAUGAGAUUUUGUACAAAAGUAGAUAGGCUCUAUUAUACUUUCUGCUACAGAGUGUAUUCUACAUGCUAUUGUAACAAUUAUAUGAUAAGCUCUGAGAAUGAUCAUGUAUGUAUUUAAAUAGCAUAUUUUCAUG